RNAcentral lists this ribosomal RNA (252 nucleotides) under uncultured bacterium. RNAcentral's name for it is "partial 16S ribosomal RNA". It matches the Rfam family "Bacterial small subunit ribosomal RNA", at positions 524 to 776 of the family's 1533-position model. The record is from RNAcentral.
UACGUAGGUCCCGAGCGUUGUCCGGAUUUAUUGGGCGUAAAGCGAGCGCAGGUGGUUUAUUAAGUCUGGUGUAAAAGGCAGUGGCUCAACCAUUGUAUGCAUUGGAAACUGGUAGACUUGAGUGCAGGAGAGGAGAGUGGAAUUCCAUGUGUAGCGGUGAAAUGCGUAGAUAUAUGGAGGAACACCGGUGGUGAAAGCGGCUCUCUGGCCUGUAACUGACACUGAGGCUCGAAAGCGUGGGGAGCGAACAGG